AUUAUCAUUUAAUUGAAAGCUCAAAAACUUGUCAUUAAUUCUCUAAAUAUUCCAUCUUGAAUGAUUUCUGUAACUGCUAAAAUGGAGAGCCAAACUUUAUCAUAAAAAUGCUGGAUUUUGUGGAGUUCUUCUCAGUAUGAAGGUUAAUGCCUCAGUGAUUUUGGCAGAAGAGCAAAUUUGAUUAGAAACGAGAAAUCCAUAUGGUGCAGGCACAAGGCAAAUAAAGUCCACCUGGACUAAAAGUAAGCCAGACCAAAUCCCAUCAACUUUGAUUGACUCCAAAGGCCAUUAGAUGUCGGAAAGGCCAAGGUAAGAUGCCCCAACAAGUUGAAUCACAACAAAGUGGUUACCUACCAAGGCGCCAACAAGACUGCAAAGCUUCUGUUAUUCCACUUUAUAUGGAGCCAUGUCAAUAUAUGUAUGUGUGCGCAGUAAUACAUAUUAAAUACACAUUGUUGCACAAAUCAUAAGAGUGCACAGUCUUAGUUGAUUGACAUACUUAAUGUAAAAACAUUGGCCAUUGAGUAUUUGUUUUGGAAAUAUCAUAUUUUCUGACUAAAGCUUUGUGGUGAAUUGAAGACUUGAUUUAUUUAACUCACAGAAAUCUUUUA
Long non-coding RNA from Lycium ferocissimum, 611 nucleotides. RefSeq lists it as uncharacterized. The record is from RefSeq and is a predicted model, not a curated record. The transcript has 3 exons. NCBI's taxonomy places the organism in Eukaryota, Viridiplantae, Streptophyta, Magnoliopsida, Solanales, Solanaceae.